GACGAACGCUGGCGGCGUGCUUAACACAUGCAAGUCGAACGAGAAUCUACUGAAAGAGUUUUCGGACAAUGGAUGUAGAGGAAAGUGGCGGACGGGUGAGUAACGCGUGAGGAACCUGCCUUGAAGAGGGGGACAACAGUUGGAAACGACUGCUAAUACCGCAUGACGCAUAGAGGUCGCAUGAUCUUUAUGCCAAAGAUUUAUCGCUUCAAGAUGGCCUCGCGUCUGAUUAGCUGGUUGGCGGGGUAACGGCCCACCAAGGCGACGAUCAGUAGCCGACCUGAGAGGGUGACCGGCCACAUUGGGACUGAGACACGGCCCAAACUCCUACGGGAGGCAGCAGUGGGGAAUAUUGCACAAUGGGGGAAACCCUGAUGCAGCGACGCCGCGUGAGCGAAGAGUAUUUCGGUAUGUAAAGCUCUAUCAGCAGGGAAGAAAAUGACGGUACCUGACUAAGAAGCACCGGCUAAAUACGUGCCAGCAGCCG
Molecule: ribosomal RNA, 487 nt
Filed under: uncultured bacterium
Lineage: Bacteria
Description: bacterial SSU rRNA
Rfam family: Bacterial small subunit ribosomal RNA
Source: RNAcentral